GGGGAUAUAGCUCAGAGGUAGAGGAGUUGGGCUGCAGACCAAGAGAUCCCUGGUUUAAAUCCAGGUGCUGCCU
RNAcentral lists this transfer RNA (73 nucleotides) under Mus musculus (house mouse). It matches the Rfam family "tRNA". Rfam says of the family: Transfer RNA (tRNA) molecules are approximately 80 nucleotides in length. The record is from Rfam by way of RNAcentral. Lineage: Eukaryota; Metazoa; Chordata; Mammalia; Rodentia; Muridae.